This 74-nucleotide transfer RNA is filed under the name Turneriella parva DSM 21527. Its description in RNAcentral is "tRNA-Arg (TCT) (tRNA-Arg-TCT-1-1)". It matches the Rfam family "tRNA". From Rfam's summary of the family: Transfer RNA (tRNA) molecules are approximately 80 nucleotides in length. Their secondary structure includes four short double-helical elements and three loops (D, anti-codon, and T loops). The record is from Rfam by way of RNAcentral. Lineage: Bacteria; Pseudomonadati; Spirochaetota; Leptospiria; Leptospirales; Leptospiraceae.
GCGCACGUAGCUCAGCUGGAUAGAGCAACAGCCUUCUAAGCUGUGGGUCAGGGGUUCGACUCCCUUCGUGCGCA